Musa acuminata AAA Group (dessert banana) is the source of this 1709-nucleotide RNA transcript. It is a transcript of the gene named probable prolyl 4-hydroxylase 7, with no coding region annotated. The record is from RefSeq and is a predicted model, not a curated record. Lineage: Eukaryota; Viridiplantae; Streptophyta; Magnoliopsida; Zingiberales; Musaceae. The transcript has 6 exons.
ACGCGGAGUCGAACGAAGAACGAAGCGAACUCGUGUCACCGCUUUCGAUCAUCUCUUAAGGCGCGACUAUAGUUCCUCUUUCCCCGGCUUAAUCGGGACACGAAGCGUGUGCCGCCGUGGAAGAAGGCUUCAUUACCCCUCCCCUCCCCCCACCCCACGCCCCCCGCGUUCCGGUCUUCCUCCUACCAAGACACAACCAAAACAAGCAGCGAUCUCCAGAGUGCCGCGGCGUCGAUGGCGACGCGGUACCCCCGGAUGCCCCCUGUCGGGAGGUCCUCCCGGUACGCGCUGAUCCUGCGGCGCUCGUCACGGUGUCGGUGGUCCUAUUCAUGCUACUCGCUCGCGGAGUCUUCUCUCUUCCCGUGGAUUCGAACGGCCCUACCAAGUCCGACCACCUCCUCCGUCGGUCUAUCUACGAGGCCAAGGACGGGAUGGGGGGGGGAAAGGCGAUCAGUGGGCGGAGGUGCUCUCGUGGGAACCCAAUGCGUUCAAAUAUCACAAUUUCCUGUCCAGGAAAGAAUGUGAAUACCGAUGGCAAAGCCUCACAUGAAGAAGCCAACAGUUGUUGACAGUACUACUGGUCAGAGGAAAGACAGCAGGUUCAGGCAUGUUUUCUUAGAAGAGGACAAGAUAAAUCAUCCGACCAAUUGAAAAAAUAAUUGCAGAUUACACCUUCAUACCUGCAGUAUGGCACUGAUACCAGUCGCAUGCCAGAUCGGUAUGGCACCAGUACAUACAAUGUAUCGAGGCUUUGUAUGGAUAUGGAUCACUACCGAUUGAUAGGGAGGGAGGGAUGAGAGAGAGAGAGAGAGUGGAUGGGGAUGGGCAGCAACACCGCGAGAGAAGGAGAAGCCGCAACAACAAAAGAAGAGAAGAAGACAAAAAGAAAGGUUAUAACGGAGGCUGGCACUGAGUGAUAGGCUUACUGCUCUGUUUAGCUCAGUAUCAACCAAAGAUGGGUGAUGUAUUACACUUCUGGAACAUGAGGCCUGACGCCACUCUAGAUUCAUCUACUUUGCAUGGUGGAUGUCCUGUUAUUAGAGGAAAUAAGUGGCCUUCUACAAAAUGGAUAUGCAUGAGCUUAAUUAUAAAACUAAAGAAGGUACUUUGCUUCUUCAACCUACUAAGACCUUGAGAAAUUUUAGAGGAGCUUCCUGAAAGUUAAUGAGAAAUAUAACCUUCUUUUGCUGUGUCAGAAAGAAAGGAUGAGCUUAUUGCAAGUGCCGCAUAGUUCAUACAAUGUUCAAUGUUCCUCAGUUUUAGUGCUUCAACCCCAACAUAAGACUUCUAAAAAGUGUUCCCUAUUUUUCUAUCCUUUUUUAUGUUACACGUUGAAAUGAUUUCAAUUUUCCAUUUAUUGACAUCCAGUUCCUUCACGUUUGUCUUCUGCAGGGGUGGGUGUUUCAUGCGGCUGCUGCAUGAGAAGAAUUUUACAUUAGUUUCUCCUCAUGGAUGCCAUUUUGAGUUCUGUAAACUCUCCUUGGAUCACAUAGAGUCUUAGUUAAGGUGUGUUCUCAUCGAGAAUAGGAAUGGUUUAUUUAGCUGAGGUGGUAUUUAUACUUUUGCAGUCAGUUAUACUGCUCAAGAUGCCAUUCUAAAGUUGUUCUUUGUAUUGUACUGAAUUGAACACACAUCAAACAGUAAGCAACUGCUAUGGCAGUAAAAGAGCAGAAGGCAAAUUAGAUGCCUUAGUUUUGUUUUUUGUGCAA